This 329-nucleotide unclassified non-coding RNA is filed under the name soil metagenome. Its description in RNAcentral is "partial contains 5.8S ribosomal RNA, internal transcribed spacer 2, and large subunit ribosomal RNA". The stretch from base 1 to 120 matches the Rfam family "5.8S ribosomal RNA", at positions 35 to 154 of the family's 154-position model. The record is from RNAcentral.
GAUGAAGAACGUAGCGAAAUGCGAUAAGUAGUGUGAAUUGCAGAAUUCAGUGAAUCAUCGAAUCUUUGAACGCACAUUGCGCCCCUUGGUAUCCCGAGGGGCAUGCCUGUUCGAGCGUCAUUUCACCACUCAAGCCUGGCUUGGUGUUGGGCGACGUCCUCUUUGGGGACGCGCCUCGAAACGCUCGGCGGCGUGGCACCGGCUUUAAGCGUAGCAGAAUCUUUCGCUUUGGAAGUCGGGGCCCCGUCUGCCGGAAGACCUGCUCGCAAGGUUGACCUCGGAUCAGGCAGGGAUACUCGCUGAACUUAAGCAUAUCAAUAAGCGGAGGA